CCUACGGGGUGCAGCAGUGGGGAAUAUUGGACAAUGGGCGAAAGCCUGAUCCAGCCAUGCCGCGUGUGUGAAGAAGGCCUUCGGGUUGUAAAGCACUUUCAGUGGGGAAGAAAGCCUUGGGGCUAAUACCCUCGAGGAAGGACAUCACCCACAGAAGAAGCACCGGCUAACUCCGUGCCAGCAGCCGCGGUAAUACGGAGGGUGCGAGCGUUAAUCGGAAUUACUGGGCGUAAAGCGCGCGUAGGCGGUCUGAUAAGCCGGUUGUGAAAGCCCCGGGCUCAACCUGGGAACGGCAUCCGGAACUGUCAGGCUAGAGUGCAGGAGAGGAAGGUAGAAUUCCCGGUGUAGCGGUGAAAUGCGUAGAGAUCGGGAGGAAUACCAGUGGCGAAGGCGGCCUUCUGGACUGACACUGACGCUGAGGUGCGAAAGCGUGGGUAGCAAACAGGAUUAGAUAUCCUAGUAGUC
Molecule: ribosomal RNA, 465 nt
Filed under: Vreelandella stevensii
Lineage: Bacteria; Pseudomonadati; Pseudomonadota; Gammaproteobacteria; Oceanospirillales; Halomonadaceae
Description: partial 16S ribosomal RNA
Rfam family: Bacterial small subunit ribosomal RNA
Source: RNAcentral